Molecule: unclassified non-coding RNA, 297 nt
Filed under: Hevea brasiliensis (rubber tree)
Lineage: Eukaryota; Viridiplantae; Streptophyta; Magnoliopsida; Malpighiales; Euphorbiaceae
Source: RNAcentral
GGGAAGUUGGAGAUCCCUGAAAACAAUUCCUUUUUCAGUUCUGUUAUUUAUGCUUGUGCAAAGGCAGAGGACUUAUUGGAGAUGGAGAGAGUUUUCAAGCGAAUGAAAGAUAAGGGAUUCCGACCAGAUGACACAACUUACACUGUUAUGGCUGAGGCAUAUAGAAAGGAAGGAAUGACAGACAAAGUCUAUGAUUUAGAGCAAGAAAAGCGGAUGAUGUCUGCCUCAGAUUCCUGCGACAGCCAAGAUAAGCUAGAGCUAAUGCCUACUUGAGAACUAAAUAUGAAAUUUAAUUUA